Paramuricea clavata is the source of this 280-nucleotide non-coding RNA. The record is from the annotation of a GenBank genome assembly. Lineage: Eukaryota; Metazoa; Cnidaria; Anthozoa; Malacalcyonacea; Plexauridae.
CGCGCCACCAGUAGAUCUUUCAACCUACGAAUUUGAUCCUUGUUUCCCUUGCCCACUGGAAGAGCAGCCAGAGACCACGUUAUAAAAAAAGGACCAUGCCAGCCAACCCGCGACGUAGAUUAUCCAAAAGACAGAUUUAAUCGAAAAUUUCUCUCAUCGUGCAUGAGUAUUCAAAGUCAUCUGAUAUAGCGUUUUGUUUCUACUGCCGAGUUUUCAACGGACAGGUAUAUAACACAUCGUAUAUAUAGAGUAAACACGUCUGGCGAUAUUUGCAUUUGAA